GCGUCUGUAGUUCAGUGGUAGAACGCUGUCCUGAUAAGACAGAGGUCGUAAGUUCGAUUCUUACCAGACGCACUA
Molecule: transfer RNA, 75 nt
Filed under: Candidatus Nomurabacteria bacterium RIFCSPHIGHO2_02_40_30
Lineage: Bacteria; Candidatus Nomuraibacteriota
Also listed under: 5 other names
Description: tRNA-Ile
Rfam family: tRNA
About the family: Transfer RNA (tRNA) molecules are approximately 80 nucleotides in length. Their secondary structure includes four short double-helical elements and three loops (D, anti-codon, and T loops).
Source: RNAcentral